Molecule: ribosomal RNA, 1606 nt
Filed under: Salmonella enterica
Lineage: Bacteria; Pseudomonadati; Pseudomonadota; Gammaproteobacteria; Enterobacterales; Enterobacteriaceae
Description: partial 23S ribosomal RNA
Rfam family: Bacterial large subunit ribosomal RNA
Source: RNAcentral
ACUCAGGUGUUGUUGGGUAGGGGAGCGUUCUGUAAGCCUGCGAAGGUGGCCUGUGAGGGUUGCUGGAGGUAUCAGAAGUGCGAAUGCUGACAUAAGUAACGAUAAAGCGGGUGAAAAGCCCGCUCGCCGGAAGACCAAGGGUUCCUGUCCAACGUUAAUCGGGGCAGGGUGAGUCGACCCCUAAGGCGAGGCCGAAAGGCGUAGUCGAUGGGAAACGGGUUAAUAUUCCCGUACUUGGUGUUACUGCGAAGGGGGGACGGAGAAGGCUAUGUUGGCCGGGCGACGGUUGUCCCGGUUUAAGCGUGUAGGUGUGUGUUCCAGGUAAAUCCGGUUCACUUUAACACUGAGGCGUGACGACGAGGCACUACGGUGCUGAAGCAACAAAUGCCCUGCUUCCAGGAAAAGCCUCUAAGCAUCAGGUAACAUCAAAUCGUACCCCAAACCGACACAGGUGGUCAGGUAGAGAAUACCAAGGCGCUUGAGAGAACUCGGGUGAAGGAACUAGGCAAAAUGGUGCCGUAACUUCGGGAGAAGGCACGCUGACAUGUAGGUGAAGUGAUUUACUCAUGGAGCUGAAGUCAGUCGAAGAUACCAGCUGGCUGCAACUGUUUAUUAAAAACACAGCACUGUGCAAACACGAAAGUGGACGUAUACGGUGUGACGCCUGCCCGGUGCCGGAAGGUUAAUUGAUGGGGUCAGCGCAAGCGAAGCUCCUGAUCGAAGCCCCGGUAAACGGCGGCCGUAACUAUAACGGUCCUAAGGUAGCGAAAUUCCUUGUCGGGUAAGUUCCGACCUGCACGAAUGGCGUAAUGAUGGCCAGGCUGUCUCCACCCGAGACUCAGUGAAAUUGAACUCGCUGUGAAGAUGCAGUGUACCCGCGGCAAGACGGAAAGACCCCGUGAACCUUUACUAUAGCUUGACACUGAACAUUGAGCCUUGAUGUGUAGGAUAGGUGGGAGGCUUUGAAGUGUGGACGCCAGUCUGCAUGGAGCCGACCUUGAAAUACCACCCUUUAAUGUUUGAUGUUCUAACGUGGACCCGUGAUCCGGGUUGCGGACAGUGUCUGGUGGGUAGUUUGACUGGGGCGGUCUCCUCCUAAAGAGUAACGGAGGAGCACGAAGGUUGGCUAAUCCUGGUCGGACAUCAGGAGGUUAGUGCAAUGGCAUAAGCCAGCUUGACUGCGAGCGUGACGGCGCGAGCAGGUGCGAAAGCAGGUCAUAGUGAUCCGGUGGUUCUGAAUGGAAGGGCCAUCGCUCAACGGAUAAAAGGUACUCCGGGGAUAACAGGCUGAUACCGCCCAAGAGUUCAUAUCGACGGCGGUGUUUGGCACCUCGAUGUCGGCUCAUCACAUCCUGGGGCUGAAGUAGGUCCCAAGGGUAUGGCUGUUCGCCAUUUAAAGUGGUACGCGAGCUGGGUUUAGAACGUCGUGAGACAGUUCGGUCCCUAUCUGCCGUGGGCGCUGGAGAACUGAGGGGGGCUGCUCCUAGUACGAGAGGACCGGAGUGGACGCAUCACUGGUGUUCGGGUUGUCAUGCCAAUGGCACUGCCCGGUAGCUAAAUGCGGAAGAGAUAAGUGCUGAAAGCAUCUAAGCACGAAACUUGCCCC